This 77-nucleotide transfer RNA is filed under the name Ensifer meliloti. RNAcentral describes it as "Sinorhizobium meliloti tRNA-Ile". It matches the Rfam family "tRNA". From Rfam's summary of the family: Transfer RNA (tRNA) molecules are approximately 80 nucleotides in length. Their secondary structure includes four short double-helical elements and three loops (D, anti-codon, and T loops). Further hydrogen bonds mediate the characteristic L-shaped molecular structure. tRNAs have two regions of fundamental functional importance: the anti-codon, which is responsible for specific mRNA codon recognition, and the 3' end, to which the tRNAs corresponding amino acid is attached (by aminoacyl-tRNA synthetases). tRNAs cope with the degeneracy of the genetic code in two manners: having more than one tRNA (with a specific anti-codon) for a particular amino acid; and 'wobble' base-pairing, i.e. permitting non-standard base-pairing at the 3rd anti-codon position. Lineage: Bacteria; Pseudomonadati; Pseudomonadota; Alphaproteobacteria; Hyphomicrobiales; Rhizobiaceae. The record is from RNAcentral.
GCCCAGUGUAGCUCAGUUGGUAGAGCACUCGACCGAUAAUCGAGUUGUCGCGGGUUCAAGUCCCGCCACUGGCACCA